GACGAACGCUGGCGGCGCGCCUAACACAUGCAAGUCGAACGAGCGAGCGAGAGCUUGCUUUCUCAAGCGAGUGGCGAACGGGUGAGUAACGCGUGAGGAACCUGCCUCAAAGAGGGGGACAACAGUUGGAAACGACUGCUAAUACCGCAUAAGCCCACAGGUCGGCAUCGACCAGAGGGAAAAGGAGCAAUCCGCUUUGAGAUGGCCUCGCGUCCGAUUAGCUAGUUGGUGAGGUAACGGCCCACCAAGGCAACGAUCGGUAGCCGGACUGAGAGGUUGAACGGCCACAUUGGGACUGAGACACGGCCCAGACUCCUACGGGAGGCAGCAGUGGGGAAUAUUGCACAAUGGGGGAAACCCUGAUGCAGCGACGCCGCGUGGAGGAAGAAGGUCUUCGGAUGGUAAACUCCUGUUGUUGAGGAAGAUAAUGACGGUACUCAACAAGGAAGUGACGGCUAACUACGU
RNAcentral lists this ribosomal RNA (465 nucleotides) under uncultured bacterium. RNAcentral describes it as "partial 16S ribosomal RNA". It matches the Rfam family "Bacterial small subunit ribosomal RNA", at positions 28 to 506 of the family's 1533-position model. The record is from RNAcentral.